AGAUAGUUAUAUUAUCUAUAUUAGUAACGAUCAAACAUUGUAUACAACUGAACCAAGUAUAUUUACAGUUUAUUCACCAAAAUGUCACAAGUGUGACCGAUCUGGUUAUUGUAUUCUUGAGGAUAAUACCUGUUUUAUAAACAAUGUCUGCUAUGAUUUUGGUGUUAGAAAACACGAUAAUAACAGUUUGGUUUGUGACCCACAACAAAAUUACCGUGACUGGAGCACGAUACAAGACUUCCCAUAUCUACAGACAACACCUAAUAUAAGUAUAGUAUCUAGUGAUGAUGAGUUUAAGUUUAUCUGUGAAUUCCAACUACCCAACUUAUCUGAUGUCAAAUAUUACAUAGAAUGGUUUCAUGACAAUGUUAUUAAAACAAUUGAUCUAGUUGGUAAUGAAACACAAGUGGAAUUAGACAUUGGAGAUGUUCAGAACAUCACAUAUGGAUCAAAGAUUGAGUGUGGACUAAAAGCAUGUUAUGUCAGUAACUGUAAUGCUUCCAUGAGUCAACCAAAGAAAAGUAAAC
Molecule: long non-coding RNA, 527 nt
Organism: Patella vulgata (common limpet)
Lineage: Eukaryota; Metazoa; Mollusca; Gastropoda; Patellidae
Exons: 4
Source: RefSeq, a predicted model, not a curated record